Molecule: transfer RNA, 75 nt
Filed under: Chitinophagaceae bacterium
Lineage: Bacteria; Pseudomonadati; Bacteroidota; Chitinophagia; Chitinophagales; Chitinophagaceae
Also listed under: 3 other names
Description: tRNA-Val
Rfam family: tRNA
About the family: Transfer RNA (tRNA) molecules are approximately 80 nucleotides in length.
Source: RNAcentral
GGGAGUUUAGCUCAGUUGGUUUAGAGCAUCUGCCUUACAAGCAGAGGGUCGGGGGUUCGACUCCCUCAACUCCCA